RNAcentral lists this unclassified non-coding RNA (433 nucleotides) under uncultured Hydnum. RNAcentral's name for it is "sequence contains ITS2". The stretch from base 1 to 154 matches the Rfam family "5.8S ribosomal RNA". The record is from RNAcentral. Lineage: Eukaryota; Fungi; Basidiomycota; Agaricomycetes; Cantharellales; Hydnaceae.
AACUUUUGGCAACGGAUCUCUUGGCUCUCGCAUCGAUGAAGAACGCAGCGAAAUGCGAUAAGUAAUGUGAAUUGCAGAAUUGAGUGAAUCAUCGAAUCUUUGAACGCACCUUGCACUCUCUGGUAUUCCGGAGAGUACGCCUGUUCGAGUGUCAUGAAACUCUCAAGCAGAGAUAGCUUUGUUGCUGUUUUUGUUUGGAUUUGGACUUUGCUGUGCCAAUGCGGCUGGUCUUAAAUGCAUUAGCUGGUCCUUAUAUGAGGGAUUUGGUUUUACUCAGCGUGGUAAUUAUCUAACGUUGAGGACAGUCUUAGGACUGGCCAGAGCUUAUAUCUGGAGUGCUUCUAAUUGUCACUCGGGACAUACUGUUCAAUUGUCUGAUCUCGGAUCAGGUGGGAUUACCCGCUGAACUUAAGCAUAUCAAUAAGCGGAGGCU